This 76-nucleotide transfer RNA is filed under the name Bacteroidia bacterium. RNAcentral's name for it is "tRNA-Lys". It matches the Rfam family "tRNA". From Rfam's summary of the family: Transfer RNA (tRNA) molecules are approximately 80 nucleotides in length. Their secondary structure includes four short double-helical elements and three loops (D, anti-codon, and T loops). The record is from RNAcentral. Lineage: Bacteria; Pseudomonadati; Bacteroidota; Bacteroidia.
CCAUUCGUAGCUCAGCUGGUAGAGCACCAGACUCUUAAUCUGAUGGUCGAAGGUUCGAGUCCUUCCGGGUGGACAA